Molecule: ribosomal RNA, 373 nt
Filed under: uncultured bacterium
Lineage: Bacteria
Description: bacterial SSU rRNA
Rfam family: Bacterial small subunit ribosomal RNA
Source: RNAcentral
ACAGAGGGUGCAAACGUUGUUCGGAAUUACUGGGCGUAAAGCGCGUGUAGGCUGCUUGGAAAGUCGGAUGUGAAAGCCCUGGGCUCAACCUAGGAAGUGCAUUCGAAACUUCCAAGCUCGAGUUUCGGAGAGGAAGGCGGAAUUCUCGGUGUAGAGGUGAAAUUCGUAGAUAUCGAGAGGAACACCGGUGGCGAAGGCGGCCUUCUGGACGAUGACUGACGCUGAGACGCGAAAGCGUGGGGAGCAAACAGGAUUAGAUACCCUGGUAGUCCACGCCGUAAACGAUGGGUGCUAGGUGUCGCGGGCUUUGACCCCUGCGGUGCCGUAGCUAACGCAUUAAGCACCCCGCCUGGGGAGUACGGCCGCAAGGCUA